This 517-nucleotide long non-coding RNA is filed under the name Mytilus galloprovincialis (Mediterranean mussel). The record is from RNAcentral. Lineage: Eukaryota; Metazoa; Mollusca; Bivalvia; Mytilida; Mytilidae.
GUUUUUGAAAUAAUUAAAACAUCACAUCAUUUUUGGAAUUUGCAGUAUAUGAUAAUAAAAAAUGUAUAAUUUUACAUGUAAAUGCAGUGAUUGUCUAAAUAUUGCAAGGAUUUAAAACUGAAAAUAAUAUCAAGUUAAAUUUACUAAUUCUUCAAAUUAAGUAUGUACUAUCAAAUCAAAAUGCUGCAAGUGCAUACUGAACACAUAUCAUGGGACAUAUACAUCAAAAUAAGCAACCAAAUACUGCAACUUUUAAUGAAAUAACAGGUAGAAAAGAGGGACAAAAGAUACAAGAGGGACAGUCAAAUCAUAAAUCCAAAGUAAACUAACAACGCCAUGGCUAAAAAGAAAAAGACAAACAGACAAACAAUAGUACACAUGGCACAGCAUAGAAAACUAAAAAAUAAGCAACACGAACCCCAAAUUGAUUUGAAACCCACUAAUAAACAUAACUACAGAUUUCAUAAAACACUGGAAUGAAAUCAGUAAGAUAUCAACAAACAUGUUUUAAAGCUUC